GACACGGGGGUUGCGAUCCCCCCGCGAGGCGACAUGCCCAAGAAUCGCGUCCUGUUUUCACGAAAGGACGCAGCAUG
Molecule: non-coding RNA, 77 nt
Filed under: unclassified sequences
Description: chrB RNA
Rfam family: chrB-a RNA
Source: RNAcentral